CUAGUUGGUAAGGUAACGGCUUACCAAGGCUACGAUGGGUAGGGGUCCUGAGAGGGAGAUCCCCCACACUGGUACUGAGACACGGACCAGACUCCUACGGGAGGCAGCAGUGAGGAAUAUUGGACAAUGGGCGCAAGCCUGAUCCAGCCAUGCCGCGUGCAGGAUGACGGUCCUAUGGAUUGUAAACUGCUUUUGUACAGGAAGAAACACUGGUUCGUGAACCAGCUUGACGGUACUGUAAGAAUAAGGAUCGGCUAACUCCGUGCCAGCAGCCGCGGUAAUACGGAGGAUCCAAGCGUUAUCCGGAAUCAUUGGGUUUAAAGGGUCCGUAGGCGGUUUAAUAAGUCAGUGGUGAAAGCCCAUCGCUCAACGGUGGAACGGCCAUUGAUACUGUUAGACUUGAAUUAUUAGGAAGUAACUAGAAUAUGUAGUGUAGCGGUGAAAUGCUUAGAGAUUACAUGGAAUACCAAUUGCGAAGGCAGGUUACUACUAAUGGAUUGACGCUGAUGGACGAAAGCGUGGGUAGCGAACAGGAUUAGAUACCCUGGUAGUCCACGCCGUAAACGAUGGAUACUAGCUGUUGGAAGCAAUUUCAGUGGCUAAGCGAAAGUGAUAAGUAUCCCACCUGGGGAGUACGUUCGCAAGAAUGAAACUCAAAGGAAUUGACG
This 668-nucleotide ribosomal RNA is filed under the name uncultured Bacteroidota bacterium. Its description in RNAcentral is "SSU rRNA". It matches the Rfam family "Bacterial small subunit ribosomal RNA", at positions 245 to 915 of the family's 1533-position model. Lineage: Bacteria; Pseudomonadati; Bacteroidota. The record is from RNAcentral.